This 923-nucleotide ribosomal RNA is filed under the name uncultured bacterium. RNAcentral's name for it is "bacterial SSU rRNA". It matches the Rfam family "Bacterial small subunit ribosomal RNA", at positions 8 to 924 of the family's 1533-position model. The record is from RNAcentral.
AGAGUUUGAUCCUGGGUCAGAUUGAACGCUAGCGGGAAGCCUUACAUGCAAGUCGAACGGCAGCACAGUAGGAGCUUGCUCCUUGGGUGGCGAGUGCCGGACGGGUAAGGAAUACAUCGGAAUCUACUCUGUCGUGGGGGAUAACGUAGGGAAACUUACGCUAAUACCGCAUACGACCUACGGGUGAAAGCAGGGGAUCUUCGGACCUUGCGCGAUUGAAUGGGCCGAUGUCGGAUUAGCUAGUUGGCGGGGAAAAGGCCCACCAAGGCGACGAUCCGUAGCUGGUCUGAGAGGACGAUCAGCCACACUGGAACUGAGACACGGUCCAGACUCCUACGGGAGGCAGCAGUGGGGAAUAAUGGACAAUGGGCGCAAGCCUGAUCCAGCCAUAACGCGUGGGUGAAGAAGGCCUUCGGGUUGUAAAGCCCUUUUGUUGGGAAAGAAAUCCCAGUUGGCUAAUACCCGGUUGGGAUGACGGUACCCAAAGAAUAAGCACCGGCUAACUUCGUCAGCAGCCGCGGUAAUACGAAGGGUGCAAGCGUUACUCGGAAUUACUGGGCGUAAAGCGUGCGUAGGUGGUCGUUUUAAGUCCGUUGUGAAAGCCCUGGGCUCAACCUGGGAACUGCAGUGGAUACUGGGCGACUAGAGUGUGGUAGAGGGUAGCGGAAUUCCUGGUGUAGCAGUGAAAUGCGUAGAGAUCAGGAGGAACAUCCAUGGCGAAGGCAGCUACCUGGACCAACACUGACACUGAGGGCCGAAACCGUGGGGGAGCAAAAGGCUUAGAUACCCUGGUAGUCCCCGCCCUAAACGAGUCAACUGCUGUUGGCCUUCGGGCCUUGGUAGCGCAGCUAAAACGCGUGGAGUUGGCCGCCUGGGGAGUACGGUCGCAAGAUUAAAACUCAAAGGAAUUGACGGGGACCCGC